AUACGAAAGGUGCAAGCGUUGUUCGGAUUUACUGGGCGUAAAGAGAGUGUAGGUGGUUUAUUAAGUCGGAUGUGAAAUCCCGGGGCUCAACCUCGGAACUGCAUUCGAUACUGAUAGGCUAGAGUUUGGGAGGGGUAAGCGGAAUUCCGUGUGUAGCAGUGAAAUGCGUAGAUAUACGUAGGAACACCUGAGGCGAAGGCGGCUUACUGGACCAAUACUGACACUGAGACUCGAAAGCGUGGGUAGCAAACAGGAUUAGAAACCCCGGUAGUCC
This 274-nucleotide ribosomal RNA is filed under the name uncultured bacterium. Its description in RNAcentral is "partial 16S ribosomal RNA". It matches the Rfam family "Bacterial small subunit ribosomal RNA", at positions 523 to 796 of the family's 1533-position model. The record is from RNAcentral.